RNAcentral lists this long non-coding RNA (2507 nucleotides) under Pan troglodytes (chimpanzee). Its description in RNAcentral is "lncRNA (ENSPTRG00000053236.1)". Lineage: Eukaryota; Metazoa; Chordata; Mammalia; Primates; Hominidae. The record is from RNAcentral.
GCCUGGGUCGGCUUCUUGACAGCAUCGAGCAGCUGCACGAGCAGGUGACCCAGGAGUGUGCCGAGUACCGUGCCCUGUACGAGAAGAUGGUGCUGCCGCCCCGACGUGGGAUCCAGGGUCAACUGGGCACACGUGCUGGAGCAGAAACAGCAGGAGGUCUGCGCAGGCCAGUAUGGGCCGGGCAUGGCGGAGCUGGAGGAACGGAUCGCGGAGCUCAACAUCCUGCAGAACGAGAUCAACGACCAAGGAGAGCAGCUGCGGAGCCUGGUGGGGCCCGCCCCGUGGGUGAGCCGGGAGGAUGUUACAUCCGGGGCCAGCCCCAGCCCCUGUUUUUCCAGUCAGAGCCGGAGCUAGAUCGGCUGGGCCCUGGGGAUAGGGGUGGGUGGGGUAUGGCUUGCCCAGAUCUUAGGGGGCCGUCUCCCUGCGCCCCACCUCUCACGGGCUUGUUUCUCCCCUUGGUCAAGGCAGGAUGCCGCCACCAUCCGGAGCCAAUACCGAGACCUACUGGUGAGCAGGAGGGAGGGUCGGGCAGGGUGGCUGCAGGUGGGCCUGGGUGGCCGCCCGGACCCUGCCCGGGGCCAGUGUUCCUGAGCGCGGCCCAAUGGCGCCUUUUGCCCCCCACUGUCUCUCUCCCCACCCUGCUGCUGGCGGCGGGUCCUGAGCACAGAGGGCGGCGUCGUGGCGCGGGCAGAGCCUGGGCAGCCUGUACACGCACCUGCAGGGCUGCACGUGGCAGCUGAGCGCCCUGGCGGAGCAGCAGUGCCGCAUCCUGCAGCAGGACUGGAGCGACCUCAUGGCCGACCCUGCGGGCGUGCGGCGGGAAUACGAGGUCGGCUGGCAGAGGUUGGGGCCAGGCGGGGGCGGCCAGGGCCAUUCUGGUCCUCACCGCCGCUCCCCACCCGACUCGCCCCCAGCACUUCAAGCAGCACGAGCUGCUGAGCCAGGAGCAGAGCGUAAACCAGCUGGAGGACGACGGCGAGCACAUGGUGGAGCUGCGGCACCCCGCGGUGGGGCCCAUCCAGGAGCGCUGGGGGCAGGGCGAGAGUGAGAAGGGACGUGGUGGGCGGGGAAGGGGGGGGUGGACGUGGGUGCGGGGGCGGGGCGUGGUCCGAGGGCUCCGUGCUGCCGUACCCAGGCCCACCAGGAGGCCCUGAAGAUGGAGUGGCAGAACUUCCUGAACCUGUGCAUCUGCCAGGAGACCCAGCUGCAGCACGUGGAGGACUACAGCCGGUGAGCCCUCGGGCAGGCGGCAGGGGCGGCAGGGGCGGGAGGUCCCACAGCACUCCUGCCCACAGGAGAGGCACUGCACCUCUCAACUAGACAGAGCUGGCAGGGCGCAGUGGCUCACACCUGUAAUCCCAGCACUUUGGGAGGCCGAGGCUGGCGGAUCACUUGAGGUCAGGAGUUCGAGAUCAUCCUGGCCAACAUGGUGAAACCCUGUCUCUACUAAAAAUACCAAAAUUAGCUAGACGUGGUGGCGCGCGCCUGUAAUCCCAGCUACUCAGGAGGCUGAGGCAGGAGAAUCGCUUGAACCCAGGAGGCGGAGGUUGCAGUGGGCCGAGAUUGGCCCACUGCACUCCAGCCUGGGUGACAAAGAGGGACUCCACCUCAAAAAUAAAAUAAAAUAAAAUAGACCUGUGUGGUUGCCACUCGGUCCCAGAGGGAAGGAAAGGCAUGGGCACAUUCUCAACAGGGUGAAGCGGUUCCCAGGGGGGUGAAAAUUGGUUCUUAAUGGCAGAAAAAUAACUGUUUUUAUGCAUGAAGUACAGAUCCACAUACAGCACCUAAACUGUAUACAGCAUAUCUGUGGUACAAAUAUUUCAUGGGGGCCAGGUGUGGUGGCUCACACCUGUAAUUCCAGCACUUUGGGAGGCCGAGCCAGGAGAAUUGCUUGACCCCAGUAGUUCCAGACCAGCCUGGGCAACAUAGGGAGAUGUUGUUUCUAUAAAAAAUAAAAAUAAAAACUAGCCAGGCAUGGUGGCUCGUGCCUAUUGCUUGAGCCCAGGAUUUUGAGGCUGCAGUGAGCCAUGAUCACACCACUGCACUCCCGCCUGGGUGACAGACUGCGACUCUGUCUUAAAAAAAAAAAAAAUCCUGGUGCAAUACCUCAUGCCUGCAAUCCUACCACUUUGGGAGGCCGAGGCGGGUGGAUCACUUGAGCCCAGGAGUUGGAGACCAGCCUGGGCAACAUGACGAAAUCCCAUCUCUAUAAAAAAUAUACAAAAAUUAUCUGGAUGUAGUGGUGCAUGCCUGUAGUCAGAGCUACUUGGGAGGCUGAGGUGAGAGGAUCACUUGAGCCCAGGAAGUCGAGGCUGCAGUGAGCUGUGGUCACUCCACUGCACUCUAGCCUGGGUGGCAGAGCAAGACCCUGUCUGUUAAAACAGAACAAAAUAGAGCUGGGGCUUCCUUUUCCAGUGGGUGUGGUGCAGGGGGCACUGGGCCUCCCUUGGACCACCCGGUUCUCUGGGGCCCAGCCUCAGCUCUCUGUGGAUGGAUUGGGUGGUGCU